UACAGAGGGUGCGAGCGUUGUCCGGAAUCACUGGGCGUAAAGGGCGCGUAGGCGGCCUGCUAAGUCGAACGUGAAAUCCCUGGGCUCAACCCAGGAACUGCGUCCGAUACUGGUUGGCUUGAAUCCGGGAGAGGGACGUGGAAUUCCAGGUGGAGCGGUGAAAUGCGUAGAUAUCUGGAGGAACACCGGUGGCGAAGGCGACGUCCUGGACCGGCAUUGACGCUGAGGCGCGAAAGCCAGGGGAGCAAACGGG
This 253-nucleotide ribosomal RNA is filed under the name uncultured bacterium. RNAcentral's name for it is "partial 16S ribosomal RNA". It matches the Rfam family "Bacterial small subunit ribosomal RNA", at positions 524 to 776 of the family's 1533-position model. The record is from RNAcentral.